RNAcentral lists this ribosomal RNA (1377 nucleotides) under metagenome. RNAcentral's name for it is "bacterial LSU rRNA". It matches the Rfam family "Bacterial large subunit ribosomal RNA", at positions 1518 to 2925 of the family's 2925-position model. The record is from RNAcentral.
UAGAUAUAUUUUUUCCAGGCAAAUCCGGAAGAGAUGUCGAACGUGAUAGUACCACAAAGCUUCGGCAGAGUGGAUAGUGGUCCUAAUCAUACCGCCGAGAAAAACCUCUAAGGUUAGGCUAUAGCGGCCCGUACCGCAAACCGACACAGGUAGACGAGAUGAGUAUUCUAAGGCGCUCGGGUGAGCCGCGGAGAAGGAACUAGGCAAAUUGAUGCUGUAACUUCGGGAUAAAGCAUACCACCUUAUGGGUGGUCUCAGUAAAAUGGUUCAACCAACUGUUUAACAAAAACACAGGGCCCUGCAAAAUCGUAAGAUGACGUAUAGAGCCUGAUACCUGCCCGGUGCCGGAAGGUUAAGGAAGGAUGUUCGACGCAAGUCAAAGCUUCUGACUGAAGCCCCGGUAAACGGCGGCCGUAACUAUAACGGUCCUAAGGUAGCGAAAUUCCUUGUCGGGUAAGUUCCGACCUGCACGAAUGGUCUAAUGAGUUGAACGCUGUCUCCUCCGCGAGCCCGGUGAAAUUGUAGUAUCGGUGAAGAUGCCGGUUACCCGUCACGGGACGGAAAGACCCCGUGAACCUUCACUACAACUUUGCAUUGAUUUUGAGCAACCGAUGUGUAGAAUAGUUGGGACGCUUCGAAGCAGUGGCGCCAGCCAUUGUGGAGCGGUCGUUGAAAUACCAACCUUUGUUUGCUUAGAGUCUAAUCCCUUGCGGGAAACAGUGCAUGGUGGGUAGUUUGACUGGGGUGGUCGCCUCCUAAAAAGUAACGGAGGCUUGCAAAGGUUCCCUCAGUACGGUUGGUAAUCGUACGAAGAGCGCAUUAGUAUAAGGGAGCUUGACUGUGAGACAGACAAGUCGAGCAGGGGCGAAAGCCGGCUAAAGUGAUCCGGUGGUUCUGUAUGGAAGGGCCAUCGCUCAAAGGAUAAAAGGUACUCCGGGGAUAACAGGCUGAUCUCCCCCAAGAGCCCAUAUCGACGGGGAGGUUUGGCACCUCGAUGUCGGUUCGUCACAUCCUGGGGCUGGAGAAGGUCCCAAGGGUUCGGCUGUUCGCCGAUUAAAGUGGCACGUGAACUGGGUUCAGAACGUCGCAAGACAGUUCGGUCCCUAUCUGUGAUGGGCGUUAGAAUAUUGCGUGGACAUGACCUUAGUACGAGAGGACCGGGUCGUACGGACCGCUGGUGUAUCUGUUGUGCCGCCAGGUGCAAUGCAGAGUAGCUACGUCCGGCCAGGAUAAACGCUGAAAGCAUCUAAGCGUGAAACCUUCCACAAGAUGAGUAUUCUUUUAAGGGUCGUCGAAGACUACGACGUUGAUAGGCUACAGAUGUACAACUGGUAACAGUAAAGUCGAGUAGUACUAAUUGCCCGUACGCUUUAAUCA